Molecule: ribosomal RNA, 253 nt
Filed under: uncultured prokaryote
Description: partial 16S ribosomal RNA
Rfam family: Bacterial small subunit ribosomal RNA
Source: RNAcentral
UACGUAGGGAGCAAGCGUUGUCCGGAAUCAUUGGGCGUAAAGCGCGCGUAGGUGGCCCUGUAAGUCCGUUGUGAAAGUCAAAGGCUCAACCUUUGAAAGCCGAUGGAUACUGCAGGGCUAGAGUACGGAAGAGGCGAGUGGAAUUCCUGGUGUAGCGGUGGAAUGCGCAGAUAUCAGGAGGAACACCAAUGGCGAAGGCAGCUCGCUGGGACGUGACUGACGCUGAGACGCGAAAGCGUGGGGAGCAAACAGG